RNAcentral lists this ribosomal RNA (497 nucleotides) under uncultured bacterium. Its description in RNAcentral is "partial 16S ribosomal RNA". It matches the Rfam family "Bacterial small subunit ribosomal RNA", at positions 28 to 507 of the family's 1533-position model. The record is from RNAcentral.
GAUGAACGCUGGCGGCGUGCCUAAUACAUGCAAGUCGAGCGAACAGACGAGGAGCUUGCUCCUCUGACGUUAGCGGCGGACGGGUGUGUAACACGUGGAUAACCUCCCUAUAAGACUGGGAUAACUUCGGGAAACCGGAGCUAAUACCGGAUAAUAUAUUGAACCGCAUGGUUCAAUAGUGAAAGACGGUUUUGCUGUCACUUAUAGAUGGAUCCCCGCCGCAUUAGCUAGUUGGUAAGGUAACGGCUUACCAAGGCGACGAUGCGUAGCCGACCUGAGAGGGUGAUCGGCCACACUGGAACUGAGACACGGUCCAGACUCCUACGGGAGGCAGCAGUAGGGAAUCUUCCGCAAUGGGCGAAAGCUUGACGGAGCAACGCCGCGUGAGUGAUGAAGGUCUUCGGAUCGUAAAACUCUGUUAUUAGGGAAGAACAAAUGUGUAAGUAACUAUGCACGUCUUGACGGUACCUAAUCAGAAAGCCACGGCUAACUACGUG